This 546-nucleotide ribosomal RNA is filed under the name uncultured Glomeromycotina. RNAcentral describes it as "SSU rRNA". It matches the Rfam family "Eukaryotic small subunit ribosomal RNA", at positions 548 to 1098 of the family's 1831-position model. Lineage: Eukaryota; Fungi; Glomeromycota. The record is from RNAcentral.
UUGGAGGGCAAGUCUGGUGCCAGCAGCCGCGGUAAUUCCAGCUCCAAUAGCGUAUAUUAAAGUUGUUGCAGUUAAAAAGCUCGUAGUUGAAUUUCGGGAUUAGUACGCUGGUCGUGCCUUCGGUACGUACUGGUGUUACUGAUUUCUACCUUCUGACGAACCAUCAUGUCAUUAAUUUGGUGUGGUGGGGAAUCAGGACUGUUACUUUGAAAAAAUUAGAGUGUUUAAAGCAGGCUCGCGCUUGAAUACAUUAGCAUGGAAUAAUGAAAUAGGACGUUGAUCCUAUUUUGUUGGUUUCUAGGAUUGACGUAAUGAUUAAUAGGGAUAGUUGGGGGCAUUAGUAUUCAAUUGUCAGAGGUGAAAUUCUUGGAUUUAUUGAAGACUAACUACUGCGAAAGCAUUUGCCAAGGAUGUUUUCAUUAAUCAAGAACGAAAGUUAGGGGAUCGAAGACGAUCAGAUACCGUCGCAGUCUUAACCAUAAACUAUGCCGACUAGGGAUCGGAUGAUGUUAUUUUUAAUGACUCAUUCGGCGCCUUACGGGAAAC